RNAcentral lists this ribosomal RNA (468 nucleotides) under uncultured bacterium. RNAcentral describes it as "bacterial SSU rRNA". It matches the Rfam family "Bacterial small subunit ribosomal RNA", at positions 329 to 797 of the family's 1533-position model. The record is from RNAcentral.
UGCCAGACUCCUACGGGAGGCAGCAGUGAGGAAUAUUGGUCAAUGGGCGGGAGCCUGAACCAGCCAUGCCGCGUGAAGGCGAGUGCCCUACGGGCGUUAAACUUCUUUUGUGCGGGAGCAAUAAGGGCCACGUGUGGCCCGAUGAGAGUACCGCACGAAUAAGCAUCGGCUAACUCCGUGCCAGCAGCCGCGGUAAUACGGGGGAUGCGAGCGUUAUCCGGAUUUAUUGGGUUUAAAGGGUGCGUAGGCGGCGCUUCAGGUCAGCGGUGAAAUACCGGGGCUCAACCCCGGGGCUGCCGUUGAAACCGGAGCGCUAGAAUUCCGAUGCCGUCGGAGGAAUGUGUGGUGUAGCGGUGAAAUGCAUAGAUAUCACGCAGAACUCCGAUUGCGAAGGCAGCAUACCGGCGCUCAACUGACGCUCAUGCACGAAAGUGUGGGUAUCGAACAGGAUUAGAUACCCCGGUACCA